UUCAAAAUGGCAGAUUAAUGUAAUAGAUUUAGGCUCUAUAGAAGAGAAAUUCUUUUG
RNAcentral lists this transfer RNA (57 nucleotides) under Olivierus martensii (Chinese scorpion). RNAcentral's name for it is "Mesobuthus martensii (Chinese scorpion) tRNA-Leu". The record is from RNAcentral. Lineage: Eukaryota; Metazoa; Arthropoda; Arachnida; Scorpiones; Buthidae.